GACGAACGCUGGCGGCGUGCUUAACACAUGCAAGUCGAACGGGCCCGCUCUCUUUUUUGGGGGUGGGUUGAGUGGCGAACGGGUGAGUAUCACGUGAGUAACCUGCCCCCUGCUCCUGGAUAACUGCUUGAAAGGGCGGCUAAUACGGGGUGUGCCGGCUGGUCCGCAUGGGCCUGGUCGGGGUAGCUUCAUCUGCGGGUGGUUCGGUGGGGGAUGGGCUCGCGGCCGAUCGGCUUGUUGGUGGGGUGAUGGCCCACCAAGGCGGUGACGGGUAGCCGGGCUGAGAGGGUGCGCGGCCACGCUGGGACUGAGCCACGGCCCGGACUCCUGCGGGAGGCGGCAGUGGCGGGUGUUGCACGUUGGGCGGAAGCCUGAUGCAGCGGCGUCGCGUGAGGGAUGGAGGCCUUCGGGUUGUGAACCUCUUUCUCCGGUGGUGAAGGCCCUGUCCGUUGCGGCGGGGUUGACGGUAGCCGGGUAUGAAGCGCCGGCUAACUACGUG
RNAcentral lists this ribosomal RNA (499 nucleotides) under uncultured bacterium. Its description in RNAcentral is "partial 16S ribosomal RNA". It matches the Rfam family "Bacterial small subunit ribosomal RNA", at positions 28 to 507 of the family's 1533-position model. The record is from RNAcentral.